This 321-nucleotide ribosomal RNA is filed under the name uncultured Pseudomonadota bacterium. Its description in RNAcentral is "bacterial SSU rRNA". It matches the Rfam family "Bacterial small subunit ribosomal RNA", at positions 30 to 351 of the family's 1533-position model. The record is from RNAcentral. Lineage: Bacteria; Pseudomonadati; Pseudomonadota.
AUUGAACGCUGGCGGCAUGCCUUACACAUGCAAGUCGAACGGCAGCACGGGAGCAAUCCUGGUGGCGAGUGGCGAACGGGUGAGUAAUAUAUCGGAACGUGCCCAAUCGUGGGGGAUAACGUAGCGAAAGUUACGCUAAUACCGCAUACGAUCUACGGAUGAAAGCGGGGGAUCGCAAGACCUCGCGCGAAUGGAGCGGCCGAUAUCAGAUUAGGUAGUUGGUGGGGUAAAGGCUCACCAAGCCAACGAUCUGUAGCUGGUCUGAGAGGACGACCAGCCACACUGGAACUGAGACACGGUCCAGACUCCUACGGGUGGCAG